GAUGAACGCUGGCGGCGUGCCUAAUACAUGCAAGUCGAGCGAACGGACGAGAAGCUUGCUUCUCUGAUGUUAGCGGCGGACGGGUGAGUAACACGUGGAUAACCUACCUAUAAUACUGGGAUAACUUCGGGAAACAGGAGCUAAUACCGGCUAAUAUUUUGAACCGCAUGGUUCAAAAGUGAAACACGGUCUUGCUGUCACUUUUAGAUGAAUCCGCGCUGCAUUAGCUAGUUGGUAAGGUAACGGCUUACCAAGGCGACGAUGCAUAGCCGACCUGAGAGGGUGAUCAGCCACACUGGAACUGAGACACGGUCCAGACUCCUACGGGAGGCAGCAGUAGGGAAUCUUCCGCAAUGGGCGAAAGCCUGACGGAGCAACGCCGCGUGAGUGAUGAAGGUCUUCGGAUCGUAAAACUCUGUUAUUGGGGAAGAAAAGAAGUGGAAGUAACCGUGCACGUCUUGACGGUACCUAAACAGAAAGCCACGGCUAACUACGUG
RNAcentral lists this ribosomal RNA (497 nucleotides) under uncultured bacterium. RNAcentral's name for it is "partial 16S ribosomal RNA". It matches the Rfam family "Bacterial small subunit ribosomal RNA", at positions 28 to 507 of the family's 1533-position model. The record is from RNAcentral.